Molecule: ribosomal RNA, 508 nt
Filed under: uncultured bacterium
Lineage: Bacteria
Description: bacterial SSU rRNA
Rfam family: Bacterial small subunit ribosomal RNA
Source: RNAcentral
UGGAAACAGUAUAGCCGUAAGGCAAAUGUGAAGGUGCUGCAUGGUUGUCGUCAGCUCGUGCCGUGAGGUGUCGGCUUAAGUGCCAUAACGAGCGCAACCCUUAUCUUUAGUUACUAACAGGUCAUGCUGAGGACUCUAGAGAGACUGCCGUCGUAAGAUGUGAGGAAGGUGGGGAUGACGUCAAAUCAGCACGGCCCUUACGUCCGGGGCUACACACGUGUUACAAUGGGGGGUACAGAAGGCAGCUACCUGGUGACAGGAUGCUAAUCCCAAAAGCCUCUCUCAGUUCGGAUCGAAGUCUGCAACCCGACUUCGUGAAGCUGGAUUCGCUAGUAAUCGCGCAUCAGCCAUGGCGCGGUGAAUACGUUCCCGGGCCUUGUACACACCGCCCGUCAAGCCAUGAAAGCCGGGGGUACCUGAAGUACGUAACCGCAAGGAGCGUCCUAGGGUAAAACUGGUAAUUGGGGCUAAGUCGUAACAAGGUAGCCGUACCGGAAGGUGCGGCUGG